Molecule: ribosomal RNA, 497 nt
Filed under: uncultured bacterium
Lineage: Bacteria
Description: partial 16S ribosomal RNA
Rfam family: Bacterial small subunit ribosomal RNA
Source: RNAcentral
GAUGAACGCUGGCGGCGUGCCUAAUACAUGCAAGUCGAGCGAACAGAUAAGGAGCUUGCUCCUUUGAAGUUAGCGGCGGACGGGUGAGUAACACGUGGGUAACCUACCUAUAAGACUGGGAUAACUUCGGGAAACCGGAGCUAAUACCGGAUAACAUUUAGAACCGCAUGGUUCUAAAGUAAAAGAUGGUUUUGCUAUCACUUAUAGAUGGACCCGCGCCGUAUUAGCUAGUUGGUAAGGUAACGGCUUACCAAGGCGACGAUACGUAGCCGACCUGAGAGGGUGAUCGGCCACACUGGAACUGAGACACGGUCCAGACUCCUACGGGAGGCAGCAGUAGGGAAUCUUCCGCAAUGGGCGAAAGCCUGACGGAGCAACGCCGCGUGAGUGAUGAAGGGUUUCGGCUCGUAAAACUCUGUUAUUAGGGAAGAACAAAUGUGUAAGUAACUGUGCACAUCUUGACGGUACCUAAUCAGAAAGCCACGGCUAACUACGUG